AGGGAGCAUGUGAUGAACAGAUUAGAAUCAGAAAUGAGUGGAAUGACAAUUUAUCAACUAUGGAGAAGAAAGGCUGCAUUUAAUACUUGGAACCAACUGACAAAAGGACGUAUAUGUGGUUUCAAAAAGUAGCAAAGAGUAGGACAUGGUUCUCCUGAGACCACAGAGGAUGUAAAAAAAGCUGUGUCACUGAGCAAAGAGUGGGAAAUAAAAAAAAGAGAGAAAGAGAACAAAUAGACAGUCAUGAACAUCUGAGUGAGUGCAAUUAGCCUUCCCCACUUCCUAACCCUUCCGUGGAUUAGUCAUGUGAGAAGAUGGAACACUCUGAUCGAUGUGAGGUUCCACCACCUGAUUUGUUCUCCUGUGACCGGCUCUGGUGAUGGCAGCCAGAGCCAGAGAAAAGGAGAGCAGAGCCACGAGGAGCUCAAGGUCGAAAUAAUUGUCUCCAUUCUGACCUCUUGUCUCUGAGACUAAGAGCAGCCUGAUACUAGUUAAUAUCUCUGAAUAAAUCCUUUGAAGGUUUGAUACGUGGUGCAGUAGGUAUUUUAUUAAAUGAAAAAGAAAUUAAAUAGUAAGGAAACAAAAAGUAUAUGGUGAUACGUUUAUCUGCAGGGAUGUUGCCCUGCUCUUGAAUUUUCUCUUUUUUCUUUGAUUUUAAAGUGGACAGGACAAAUGUAAAGUGGUAAAAAAAAGACCUUUUAAAUGGCAAUAACGUAACUCAAAGGAUGCUAGUUGCUUAUUAAAACCGUAAAGAAGAGAGACGUGGUUGGAGGAGAAAGAUUCGCUUACAACCAAACCUCAAAGGAAACACACUUUAAUUAGGUUAUAAAUCUCUCAGUGAAACUUUUUUAAGCACUUCAGAAAGUAAUUUCAAGUUUAUCUGAAAUAAAACGUAGCUUUAAAGUUGAUUAGAUAAACAGGGUGUAGACAAGUUAGCAACACUGUCAGGACUGACCAGCUCCAGAGGUCAGUGGGUGUUUGUGUUUGUCAUGAGAGGAAGUCAGUUAGAGUUCUAACAGAAUUACAGUGACAGGGUACUAUUUUUAGGGAGUCUAGUUCAAGUUUAAGGCUAAUUUGAAGAACUGGUCCAACACUGGUUAGCCAUCACUAAAUACAGAUGAGGCUGCUAACAUUCAAUGAUCAUGUUGUGCAUUAAUUGUACUACUGGAAUAUGGUAACUAGGUUACUUUUGAAGACCUACAUAAAUGUAGGUGUGGUGCAGCCUGAAGGGCGUGGACAAAAAACUGUGACGUUUUGUCGUCCAUUUAUAAGAUGAUAUGAAAAGUGCAGAAAUGACCUGGCAACAGCUGCAUCUCCCACAACAUAGUUGACCUUGGAGUCAAGGUCAUCAACACAGGCUUUUCGACCUUUUUCCCCCCAUUCCUCAAUCUCGAGGAAAACGAUUUGAACACUCUCUAAAAGUGAGGUUAAGCAACUGUAACGCUUUUGCUACUGGUAACAGAACCACAGCGUGCUCUGUGCAGCCGUUCAGCCUGAACACUGACAGAAAUCUGACUCAAUCUCACACUCAUUAUUCUUCAAUCUGUAGCUACUUACCAAAUCACUGUUGGCAUCACAUUCAGAAAUGUCUAAUUUAUGUGCUUACUAAUCAACGCCAGUCAAGCAGCAGUCACAGAAGUCAGUCCAAAAGAGGGAACACGACUUGGGGGAGAGAGGGAGGACAGAGAAGGGGGAGCUAGUGUCACACAGCUCUUGUUGAUUUUAGUGUAAAAAAAACUCGCUGUCCUUAUGUGCCUGGUCCGAAUGAUGAGAUAAAAAGGGAAUCUUACAAACAUCUCUUCAGUACACAGUGUUGGUGUCCUUGGAACAAUACUAGAGAAUGUUCUUAAUGUAGUAUUAGUUAGUGCAGGUAUUAAUAAAGAGUACUUGUUCUAAUAAUAACCAUGGCUAACUGUGUGGGGGUUUAUAUGAUCAGAGCAGGGGAGAGGAUGACAAAAAAGGACAGAACAUUUCAAACUCAUGAGGUUUAUGAGCAUCUGCAACCAUGUAGCUGAUCAUCUGGGAGGAAAGAAGCCAAAACCACAGAGCUGCAGAGACAACUGGGAAUGUGAAACAGUCUCAGUAAACCAAGCAAGGGUUGGGGGGGGGCGGGGGGAGAGAACUGAGCUCAACCUGGCCAUCACCACAGGGGAAGGAGACAGAGGGCUGCAUGCCCAAGUCUUAAUAUUUGACAAGAGAAGUAACAAAGAGCCAAUGCUCCGGCUACGUUCGUCCUGGACAGGAUGUCAGCUGUGCUUUCGAUUGGAGCAGAGCUCCAAACCAGGCCUGUACACAUACGAACCCUGACAGGCUUUGUUUAGGGCUUCUCUAGCUUGUUCCCUGACAGUGAGAAUAAAAAAAAAA
Cynoglossus semilaevis (tongue sole) is the source of this 2364-nucleotide long non-coding RNA. RefSeq lists it as uncharacterized. NCBI's taxonomy places the organism in Eukaryota, Metazoa, Chordata, Actinopteri, Pleuronectiformes, Cynoglossidae. The transcript has 2 exons. The record is from RefSeq and is a predicted model, not a curated record.